This 307-nucleotide ribosomal RNA is filed under the name Clostridioides difficile. RNAcentral describes it as "bacterial LSU rRNA". It matches the Rfam family "Bacterial large subunit ribosomal RNA", at positions 2180 to 2485 of the family's 2925-position model. The record is from RNAcentral. Lineage: Bacteria; Bacillati; Bacillota; Clostridia; Peptostreptococcales; Peptostreptococcaceae.
GCGGAGGCAUCCGUGGGCUACCACCCUGGUAGUACUGGGACUCGCACCACAGGCAAUGAAGCUGGGCUUGGGACACUGUCAGGUGGGCAGGUUGACUGGGGCGGUCGCCUCCCAAAAGGUAACGGAGGCGAUCAAAGGUUCUCUCAGUACGGUCGGAAAUCGUACGUAGGGUGUAAAGGCAAAAGAGAGCUUGAUUGCAAGACAUACAGGUCGAGCAAGGAUGAAAAUCGGACUUAGUGAUCCGGUGGUUCUGCGUGGAAGGGCCAUCGCUCAACGGAUAAAAGCUACCCUGGGGAUAACAGGCUUA